Sinocyclocheilus grahami is the source of this 794-nucleotide long non-coding RNA. RefSeq lists it as uncharacterized. The transcript is spliced from 5 exons. The record is from RefSeq and is a predicted model, not a curated record. NCBI's taxonomy places the organism in Eukaryota, Metazoa, Chordata, Actinopteri, Cypriniformes, Cyprinidae.
CAGAAGAUAACCCGUAUCAGAAACGAGAAAAGUCUUCAGCUGUUCGAGAGGCCCUAAGACUAGAUCCAAAGCGUGUGCGCACAGAAGAAAUGUUUGCAGCCAGCUUCCCAGAUAUUAAAGGGCAUCAAAACCACCCCAUUUUUGGAAAGGAAUCAAGAGACAUUUGGAACAUCAUAAAAAAGGUCAAGGCAGGAAACAGGAAGUCCAGUGCAGACCAUCAUAAUCUACAGGCCUUGGUAAACACAUGGAAAGAAGAGGGCUGUGCCAUUGAGUACAGACCCUCUCAGGAGAAGGAGGAUGGUAGCGUGGUGAAGAUGCUGCUGUGCUUGCAGACGCUUACUGGAUGAAUCCUAUCGAGCUGGCAGAAAUUCACUACCACUCUUCUUUCUGUGGGUGAGGACAAAUGUGAGCUACGCCGCUGUUGGAGUGUUUGUCACUCAGACAGAGACUAAAGAGGACAUCGCAGAAGCCUUGAAGGUGUUUCAGAAGUGGAAUUCAGACUGGAAUCCAUCACACUUCAUGGUGGACUUCUGUGAGGCAGAAAUCAGUGCUUUAGAGGAGGUGUUUAAGGGUUCUAAAGUGCUCCUCUGUGAUGUUCACCGAGAGAAGGCAUGGAUGGAGUGGAUAAGAAAAAAGGACAAUGGUGUGACAUCUCAGGAAGAGGUUCUUAAACUUCUACAGGCCAUUGCAGAUUCUCAGACGAAUGAGGAGUUUGAGAACAACACUGUUACCCUUCAACAACAUCCAGACUGGCAGUCAAAUGAGAAGCUGAGAAGGUUCGUCAGCACAUGGCU